CCCCUACAAUUCUUUGUGUUCUCUCACUCUAUGUUUGCUGUGUGGAUGUUAACACCCAAGAUGAUAUGGGGAGCCAUUGCAAUAAAAAUGGCAAAACCUCCUUUAGACUGGGUUCUUGAGUAACUGAGCAGAGCUUUCAUCCCAGGCAGCCACUGUUUCCAGGACCCACCACCCAGCCAUCUCACCAUCCUAAAACCAGAAAUCUUCCAAAAUGUCUUCUGAUCCCUCAACCCUACAUCCAACCAGAAGUCAAGGACUGCAUGAGGCAGAUACUGCCAACCUACCUGUUUCAGAAGUGAGAACACUAGGACUCGGAGACAGCACAUGUCGUACAUGGGAAUCUGAGGAAUGCAGUUUUUAAAUGUUUCCUUAUUCCUGAAGCACUGAAGGGCUACUGGAGAAAGUGGAAUACUGAUGCUGAGUGUCAAACUACUACCAAGUAUCCUUGCCAAGUUAACUCAUCUACCCUGAUGAAAAGCUGAAAACCUUGGUCGAGGUUUUGAAAUUCAAAGUUUUUUAUAAAAAUGAAUAAAUAAUAUAGUCUUCUUUCAUAAUUUUGA
Molecule: long non-coding RNA, 560 nt
Filed under: Homo sapiens (human)
Lineage: Eukaryota; Metazoa; Chordata; Mammalia; Primates; Hominidae
Description: HSALNT0330392
Source: RNAcentral